Molecule: ribosomal RNA, 678 nt
Filed under: Backusella recurva
Lineage: Eukaryota; Fungi; Mucoromycota; Mucoromycetes; Mucorales; Backusellaceae
Description: LSU rRNA
Rfam family: Eukaryotic large subunit ribosomal RNA
Source: RNAcentral
UUGUCUUUUGUGAUACGCUUUCAAAGAGUCAGGUUGUUUGGGAAUGCAGCCUAAAUUGGGUGGAAAUCUCACCUAAACUAAAUAUUGGCGAGAGACCGAUAGCGAACAAGUACCGUGAGGGAAAGAUGAAAAGAACUUUGAAAAGAGAGUUAAACAGUAUGUGAAAUUGUUGAAAGGGACGUUUGGAGCCAGACUGGCUGCUCUAUAAUCAAUCUCUGCUUCGGUAGGGAUGCACUUGUAGGGCUUUGGCCUGCCAACAGCAAUUUUUUCUGAAGGAAAAAACUAGAAGGAAUGUGGCCCCUCGGGGUGUUAUAGCCUUUUAGAAAAUACUUUGGAAGGGAUUGAGGACUGCAGCAGAUGCUUUUGGCGAAAUAUAUAGGUGCUUGUAUUGAGGAAGUGUAGAAUUUCUGCUCGGGUGGUGCUACGCUCUAAUGUGCAACUCGCUUAGACUAUUUUCUAUCUGCUUAGGUUGUUGGCUUAAUGACUCUAAAUGACCCGUCUUGAAACACGGACCAAGGAGUCCAUCAUAGGUGCAAGUCUUUGGGUAAAACUCAUAGGCGUAAGGAAACUGAUGAUACGAAGGCUCACGCUGGCAGUAUCGCCCGCAACGACGUUUUAACAGACUUGACCGAGAUAAAGCACUUAUGCUGGGACCCGAAAGAUGGUGAACUAUGCCUG